UCCUUCUUCUUCUGCCAUCAUCAUCAUCAUCUUCUUCUUCUUCUUCUACCAUUAGACCCAUAUCUACUUUGAAACCCAAGCUUUGAGCGAGAAAGGAAACGAAAGAAAAGAACAGGGAAUUGGGUUCUAAUUUUUCAGAGAGGUCAGAGAAGCGGGGAAACAGAGAGAGAAAGUGGGGGAGGAAGAAUAUAUUAAAUAAAGAUGAGAAAAA
RNAcentral lists this long non-coding RNA (211 nucleotides) under Panax ginseng (ginseng). Its description in RNAcentral is "long non-coding RNA (PGIN_LNC011244)". The record is from RNAcentral. Lineage: Eukaryota; Viridiplantae; Streptophyta; Magnoliopsida; Apiales; Araliaceae.